AACGAACGCUGGCGGCAGGCUUAACACAUGCAAGUCGAACGCCCCGCAAGGGGAGUGGCAGACGGGUGAGUAACGCGUGGGAACAUACCCUUUCCUGCGGAAUAGCUCUGGGAAACUGGAAUUAAUACCGCAUACGCCCUACGGGGGAAAGAUUUAUCGGGGAAGGAUUGGCCCGCGUUGGAUUAGCUAGUUGGUGGGGUAAAGGCCUACCAAGGCGACGAUCCAUAGCUGGUCUGAGAGGAUGAUCAGCCACAUUGGGACUGAGACACGGCCCAAACGCCUACGGAAGGCAGCAGUGGGGAAUAUUGGACAAUGGGCGCAAGCCUGAUCCAGCCAUGCCGCGUGAGUGAUGAAGGCCUUAGGGUUGUAAAGCUCUUUCACAGAUGAAGAUAAUGACGGUAGUCGGAGAAGAAGCCCCGGCUAACUUCGUGCCAGCAGCCGCCGUAA
Molecule: ribosomal RNA, 447 nt
Filed under: uncultured bacterium
Lineage: Bacteria
Description: partial 16S ribosomal RNA
Rfam family: Bacterial small subunit ribosomal RNA
Source: RNAcentral